UGGGGAAUAUUGGACAAUGGGGGCAACCCUGAUCCAGCAAUGCCGCGUGAGUGAAGAAGGCCUUCGGGUUGUAAAGCUCUUAGCCGACGAAUAUAAUGACUGUAGUCGGAGAAUAAGCCCCGGCUAACUUCGUGCCAGCAGCCGCGGUAAUACGAAGGGGGCGAGCGUUAUUCGGAAUCACUGGGCGUAAAGCGUGCGUAGGCUGCUUUGUAAGUCAGAAGUGAAAGCCCAGGGCUUAACCCUGGAAUUGCUUUGAAACUACAAGGCUCGAAUUCGGGAGAGGAUAGCGGAAUUGUCAGUGUAGCAGUGAAAUGCGUAGAUAUUGACAGGAACACCAGUGGCGAAGGCGGCUCACUGGCUCGAUACUGACGCUGAGGUGCGAAAGCGUGGGGAUCGAACAGGAUUAAUACC
RNAcentral lists this ribosomal RNA (411 nucleotides) under uncultured bacterium. Its description in RNAcentral is "bacterial SSU rRNA". It matches the Rfam family "Bacterial small subunit ribosomal RNA", at positions 355 to 786 of the family's 1533-position model. The record is from RNAcentral.